Amphibalanus amphitrite is the source of this 407-nucleotide long non-coding RNA. RefSeq lists it as uncharacterized. The record is from RefSeq and is a predicted model, not a curated record. The transcript is spliced from 3 exons. NCBI's taxonomy places the organism in Eukaryota, Metazoa, Arthropoda, Thecostraca, Balanomorpha, Balanidae.
AUGUGGCAUCAACUCUAAAUAGGUAUGGGUAUAAGAAGAUGUGAACGUGAUUGAGAGCGAAGAUCAGAGAAGACGGCCUUCAGGAAUUUGGGUCACAACUCGGUCACGAUACGUAAACGCUCGACUCCAUGGUGUUUCUGAGACGGAUGUCGACAUUUCAAUCGGUUCCUAUUCUGAUGUCGGCCCUGUCAUCUGACGGCAUAUUCCGGCACCGACGGCAGCAGAUGGCUCUGGCCUGGCGUUGCUGUGACUGGUGCUGCCACCUACACAAGCAUCAGCUGACGGUGCUGCCAUCUGUCAAACUGCUUUCGGAGCCGACUGCAGCUCAUAUCUUGGACAUUUGUCUCCAAGGGCAGUCUUCCCUACUGUGGCUUUUCAACACCGUGGUAUUGGUAUUGUAUUGGAGG